Molecule: long non-coding RNA, 1811 nt
Filed under: Salvia miltiorrhiza (redroot sage)
Lineage: Eukaryota; Viridiplantae; Streptophyta; Magnoliopsida; Lamiales; Lamiaceae
Description: long non-coding RNA (SMIL_LNC002249)
Source: RNAcentral
UGAGAUUCUGUGGCCCAAAAGUAAUGUUAAACUAGAGAGAGAGGUUAUGUAUUCUCUCACUAAACAAAUAGUGACCAUACAAAGCCACUCUUCAAAUCACAUAGCUAUCCAAUUUCAUCCACACCUCAGCACUGAGACACAAUCCCAAUCCUAUUAUCAUUUUUGUCUCUUAAUAAAAUAAUAUAAUGUACAAUCUUCAAAGCACACGACACCACCAAAACAUUCUCUUACUUUGUUCUCUAUAAGGCUGCAAGAAACUAUAUAGCUUCUACAUAUUUAUGUUAAAACCAUUUUUCUCAGCUCAUCACACAAAAGAGAAGCAACCAAGAAGAUUCUUAGGUACUUAUUUCUACUUUUAUUUUUCGAUUUAGUCACCUACUUCACUUUUCUUUUCUUUUUAUUUUGAUUUUACGAAUAGCCGCAGUCGCUACCUUCGAUGCACAUUGUUGGAAAUUUGGUGUUGGGCAAAACCAUAAUUAUAUAUGAUGUUUCAUUUGAAUUUAACAUAAAUCAAUUAUAGAUAUAGAAUCUACCUUUCAAGUAGAUAACUCUAGAAUAUUUACUUGUUCUAAUUCAAUUUCGAAUUAAUGAGCAAUUAAUAUACGAAGAUUAUACAUUGCCUUCGGUGUACACUUAAUAAACUCACAUUCGUGUGCAAUAACACUCACACGUACUUCACUUUAUUAAUACACUCGAUGCUUAUAAUAAUUUUUUGUGCAUGAGGUAGUUUUAAAUUUUUUUAAGUAUAUAUUUUUCUAAUGUAUAGAAAGGUUUACAUAUCAAAACCAGUAAUUCUAGUGUAUGGGAAUUCAAUUUUUCUCAAGUACUACUUAACUAUUGAGUUACUAUUUGAUGCAUUUCCAACCAAAAAAUAAGAUAUUUUUAUAGAGUUGAGGAGAAAUGACGCAUUGCUACAUUUUUUUUAUUAAAACAUGAAUAUUAAUGAUUUAAUUUUGUGCAGAGAGAGAUUGAAAUGGCUGCAAAAUUGAAGAAAUGCAUGAUGCUAUGCUGCACCCGCAAACCUGUGGUAAUUAAUCAGCCCACCUAAUAUGGGCCUAUAUGGGCCUCCAGCCCACUUUGUUAUUCUCAACCUUUACUACCAUUUUAAUUUUUUUUUAAUUAUACCAUUAAUUUGGGAAAUAACAAAAGAUAAAAAGAAAUGAAUCCGAAUUAUUUAUUUAGUUAAGCAACUCAAAAGUCAAUGACGGAUAGAGUCUACUUCUCACUUUCUUUAUUAGUAAAAUUCUAGUACACUCUAUUUAUAAAGACAAAUAAAAAUACUUUCUACAAAAACUUUAUCUCUAAAUUAUUAAUACUAAUAAUGUAAUAGAAAAACAUUGUCCAGUCACAUUCUAUCAGCUAGCCAAAGGCCCAAAGGCUAAGGGGCCGUUUGAUAGCUGAGUAGAACCCUUGUUGUUUAGUUAUCAAGAGUGAAAUUGCUGAUUGGUAGCAUUUUUUCGGCACAACGGAGGCCCGUUCUACAAGGCGUGGCCCGCCCUUAUUCACUAUUCCAUCUCUUUAAUGAAACCCAAGGGGGGCAUCGGUUCCAUUUCCUUGAAUGCUACAGUGAUCCAUUUUAUUUUUCCUAAUGUCCAUUUUGCCCCUGAAAUUAUUUCAAAACUUUUAUUUUUGAAAUUAAUGUGGGGUUAAAAGGGUAAUUUCAUCCAGUUAGCCGACUUUUCGUACAUAGCUGUCAGCAAGUAACUUUUGUUAUACAAAGUUUAUAAAUUGCUAACAAACACCAGAAUCAAUAUACUAAAAGUCGGCUAACUGGAUGAACAAAUAAGAGAACCCCUCUGGGUGUGGCAGAG